GCUAACCACUGAGUCUGUGUUCCUUUUCUGGACUUCUGACACUAGUGGCACCUGCCUGGACCUUUGUUCAUACUAGCAACAUAUAAAACAUUCCAUUUUUGCACAAGCUCUCCAGCUUUUCACAUGGUCACCACUGUUUCUGCUUUGGUGCUUUUGGUACAGUAUGUGCCUGGUGCCCAUGGAGGCCAGAAGAAGGCGUCAGAUCCCCUGGAGCUGGAGUUACGGAUGGUGGUGACCCACCCUGUGGGCGCUGGGGAUUGAACCUGGCUCUUCUGCAAGAGCCAUAAGCGCUCUUAGCCACUGACUGGCCUCUGUCACCUCCCCACAGCGGCCAUGGUUUUUGCAAAAACCUCAAUACUCUGUGUGUGUGUGUGUGUGUGUGUGUGUGUGUGUGUGUGUGUGUGUGUGUGAUUUCCCCAUUCGUGUCCUUUCUCGAUUGCUUUUAAGAUUGUUAUUUUUUCCCAGAACUCUCUCAAAUUUAGAGAUACUUUUAGAAAUUCGCCUGUGAUGUGUCUUGGCAUGAUGCUGGAGACUUUUCUCAUUUCAGGGGGUUUCCUGAGUAAUGUGGGGAUGUUGUUAAAUCAAGAACAUUUGCUACCAUUAUUUCUUCAAAUACUCUUAGGCUCAGGUAUCUGGCCACCUGGUCUCCAGUUGGUGGCACUGUGUAGGAAGGGUUAUGGAACCUGGAAGAGGUGCAGCUUUGCUGGAGGAAGCAUGCACCUCACUUGGGGUGGGCUUUGAGAAUUCAGAGUCCCCUCCCACUUCCGGGUUGUUCUCUCUGGCUGAAGAUGCCAUGUCACAGUUUCCUGAUUCAGCUGCCUGCUGCUGGGUCUCCUCCAUCAUUACAACCUCUCCCUCUGGUCCCUUAAGCCAAACCAAACUCUUCCUGAGUUGCGGGUCGUGGGGCUUUAACACUGCCAUGAAAGUGACGAAAAAAAGUCAGUCACCUUCCCACCUCAGCCUGGAGAUUGCAGGAUGCCCCUUGAGCCAUUUUUAUAAUUUGAAAUUUCUAUCAGAUUGCUGUAGGAAUCUAGCAGAGCCACUGUGUCCAGGGUAAGCAUUAGAGUGAAGGGUUGCUUUUUAGAAGUACUUUGGCCUGGAAGCAUCAUUGUGGAACAGUGAUUGUUUCCCGUGAUUUACAG
Molecule: long non-coding RNA, 1142 nt
Filed under: Cricetulus griseus (Chinese hamster)
Lineage: Eukaryota; Metazoa; Chordata; Mammalia; Rodentia; Cricetidae
Description: lncRNA (ENSCGRG00015033718.1)
Source: RNAcentral